Molecule: ribosomal RNA, 440 nt
Filed under: uncultured bacterium
Lineage: Bacteria
Description: partial 16S ribosomal RNA
Rfam family: Bacterial small subunit ribosomal RNA
Source: RNAcentral
CCUACGGGAGGCAGCAGUGGGGAAUAUUGGGCAAUGGGGGAAAGCCUGAUGCAGCGACGCCGCGUGGGGGAUGGAGGCUUUCGGUAUAUAAAGCCCUGUCAGCAGGGAAGAUAAUUACGGUACCUGACUAAUAAUGCCCGGCUAACUACGUGCCAGCAGCCACGGUAAUACGCAGGGGGCAAGCGUUAUCCGGAUUUACGGGGUGUAAAGGGAGCGUAGACGGCAGGGCAAGACAGGAGUGAAAGGAUGGGGACCAACCCCGUGACUGCUGUGGGAACUGGGCGGCUGGAGUGCGGGAGGGGUGAGUGGAAUUCCUGGUGUAGCGGUGAAAUGCGUAGAUAGCAGGAGGAACACCAGUGGCGAAGGCGGCUUACUGGACGGUAACUGACGCUGAGGCGCGAAAGCGUGGGUAGCAAACAGGAUUAGAUACCCGGGUAGUC